AUUGAACGCUGGCGGCAUGCCUUACACAUGCAAGUCGAACGGUAACAGGUCUUCGGAUGCUGACGAGUGGCGAACGGGUGAGUAAUACAUCGGAACGUGCCCGAUCGUGGGGGAUAACGGAGCGAAAGCUUUGCUAAUACCGCAUACGAUCUACGGAUGAAAGCAGGGGACCGCAAGGCCUUGCGCGGACGGAGCGGCCGAUGGCAGAUUAGGUAGUUGGUGGGAUAAAAGCUUACCAAGCCGACGAUCUGUAGCUGGUCUGAGAGGACGACCAGCCACACUGGGACUGAGACACGGCCCAGACUCCUACGGGAGGAAGCAGUGGGGAAUUUUGGACAAUGGGCGAAAGCCUGAUCCAGACAUGCCGCGUGCAGGAUGAAGGCCUUCGGGUUGUAAACUGCUUUUGUACGGAACGAAAAGACUCUUUCUAAUAAAGAGGGUCCAUGACGGUACCGUAAGAAUAAGCACCGGCUAACUACGUG
This 482-nucleotide ribosomal RNA is filed under the name uncultured bacterium. Its description in RNAcentral is "partial 16S ribosomal RNA". It matches the Rfam family "Bacterial small subunit ribosomal RNA", at positions 30 to 507 of the family's 1533-position model. The record is from RNAcentral.